RNAcentral lists this transfer RNA (69 nucleotides) under Podarcis lilfordi (Lilford's wall lizard). RNAcentral's name for it is "tRNA.Ala". It matches the Rfam family "tRNA". Rfam says of the family: Transfer RNA (tRNA) molecules are approximately 80 nucleotides in length. Their secondary structure includes four short double-helical elements and three loops (D, anti-codon, and T loops). The record is from RNAcentral. Lineage: Eukaryota; Metazoa; Chordata; Lepidosauria; Squamata; Lacertidae.
GCCGUAGCUCAGUGGUAGAGCAUCUGCUUUGCAUGCAGAAGGCUGCAGGUUCAAUCCCCGGCUUCUCCA